AUUGAACGCUGGCGGCCGGCCUAACACAUGCAAGUCGAGCGAGCGGCGGACGGGUGAGUAACGUCUGGGAAACUGCCUGCUGGAGGUGGAUUAACAUUGGAAACGGCAGCUUAUACCGCAUCCCAUCCGAUGUUCCCAGAUGGGAUGAGCUAGUUGGUGGGGUAACGGCUCACCAAGGCGACGACCCCUAGCUGGUCUGAGAGGCUGACCAGCCACACUGGAACUGAGACACGGUCCAGACUCCUACGGGAGGCAGCAGUGGGGAAUAUUGCACAAUGGGCGCAAGCCUGAUGGAGCCAUGCCGCGUGAGUGAAGAAGGCCUUCGGGUUGUAAAGCACUGUCAGCAGGGAGGCGUUACCCACAGAGGAAGCACCGGCUAACUCCGUGCCAGCAGCCGCGGUAAUAC
RNAcentral lists this ribosomal RNA (406 nucleotides) under uncultured bacterium. RNAcentral's name for it is "partial 16S ribosomal RNA". It matches the Rfam family "Bacterial small subunit ribosomal RNA", at positions 30 to 526 of the family's 1533-position model. The record is from RNAcentral.